RNAcentral lists this non-coding RNA (29 nucleotides) under Mus musculus (house mouse). Lineage: Eukaryota; Metazoa; Chordata; Mammalia; Rodentia; Muridae. The record is from RNAcentral.
UGUAAAUUCUAACUGGGGCCGUUUAAUCA